UACCAGCUCUCCGAGUUGUAGGGACGAUUAUUGGGCUUAAAGCGUCCGUAGCCGGCUUAGCAAGUCUCCUGUUAAAUUCAGCGACCCAAUCGUUGAGCCGCGGGAGAUACUACUAGGCUAGGAGGCGGGAGAGGUCGACGGUACUUUCGGGGUAGGGGUGAAAUCCUAAAAUCCCGGGAGGACCACCAGUGGCGAAGGCUGUCGACUAGAACGCGCUCGACGGUGAGGGACGAAAGCUGGGGUAGCGAACCGGAUUAGAUACCCGGGUAGUCCCAGCUGUAAACUAUGCGGGCUAGGUGUUGGGGUGGCUACGGGCCACUUCAGUGCCGCAGGAAGCCAUUAAGCCCGCCGCCUGGGGAGUACGGCCGCAAGGCUAGAAACCUAAAGGAAUUGGCGGGGGAGCACCACAAGGCGUGAAGCUUGCGGUUC
This 429-nucleotide ribosomal RNA is filed under the name uncultured archaeon. Its description in RNAcentral is "bacterial SSU rRNA". It matches the Rfam family "Archaeal small subunit ribosomal RNA", at positions 474 to 903 of the family's 1478-position model. The record is from RNAcentral.